Molecule: long non-coding RNA, 822 nt
Organism: Chenopodium quinoa (quinoa)
Lineage: Eukaryota; Viridiplantae; Streptophyta; Magnoliopsida; Caryophyllales; Amaranthaceae
Exons: 3
Source: RefSeq, a predicted model, not a curated record
CUUGCUUUUCUUUCUUUCUUUCUUUCCCCCCGUUUUUUCCAUCUUCUGUUUUCCCUCUAGUUUUCGCCUUCUCUUCCACCAUCCCGAAUUUUCACCUUCUCCAUUGAAGUGGUUUACGAGCUUUCUCACUCCAUUGAAGCAGCACCUCCUUGUCUCUCCAUAUCUCUGGCCUCCAUUGAACUCGUGCUCUAUAUUCUCCAUUGAAGUCGAUUCUGAGCUUUCUCACCUCCAUUGAAGCAGGUUCGAGGUAAUGUGGUCUUCUUAAUCUAUUGAAUUCCUUCGCAAUCUAGGGUUUGUCGUUGAUUUGGUUUUCAAUUUCAUAAUUUUAGGGUUCUUGUUUUAUUUCUCACCUCCAUUGUAGCAGCUUCGAGGUAAUGUGGUCUUCUUAAUCUACUAAAUUCCUUCGCAAUCUUAGGGUUCUGGUUUUAUUUCUUAUUUUUUUAAUUUAGUUUCAAUUAAUUAACCAUAAACCCUAAGUUUUUUAAUUUUAAUAUUUUUUAUUCUAUCAUUUGUAGGAAUUGUAGAUCUAGUUUGUUUGCUCCUCAAAAAAGAGUUCAAAUUCAAAGGAGGAAGCAAGAGCAGUAGGGCUGCUGAGAAGUGAGAAAAUGGCAAAUUUAGUUGGGUGUUGUUGUGAGGGUGAUGAGAGAUUGCUAGUUGCUGAGUUCAUGGCCAAUGAAACACUUUCUAAGCAUCUCUUUCACAGGGAAAAUCAGCCUUUGAAAUGGGCUAUGAGGUUGAGAGUGGCAUUGUGUUUAGCACAAGCCUUGGAAUAUUGUAGCAGUAAAGGAAGAUCAUUGUACCACCCCCACCUUAAUGCUUAUA